CCUCCGAUAGCUCAAUGGUAGAGCGCGGGUGUACUUUCCAUGCCGGAGACGUUGGUUCGAGUCCAACUCGGAGGA
RNAcentral lists this transfer RNA (75 nucleotides) under Stereum hirsutum FP-91666 SS1. RNAcentral describes it as "tRNA-Glu (TTC) (tRNA-Glu-TTC-5-1)". It matches the Rfam family "tRNA". Rfam says of the family: Transfer RNA (tRNA) molecules are approximately 80 nucleotides in length. Their secondary structure includes four short double-helical elements and three loops (D, anti-codon, and T loops). Further hydrogen bonds mediate the characteristic L-shaped molecular structure. tRNAs have two regions of fundamental functional importance: the anti-codon, which is responsible for specific mRNA codon recognition, and the 3' end, to which the tRNAs corresponding amino acid is attached (by aminoacyl-tRNA synthetases). tRNAs cope with the degeneracy of the genetic code in two manners: having more than one tRNA (with a specific anti-codon) for a particular amino acid; and 'wobble' base-pairing, i.e. permitting non-standard base-pairing at the 3rd anti-codon position. Lineage: Eukaryota; Fungi; Basidiomycota; Agaricomycetes; Russulales; Stereaceae. The record is from RNAcentral.